Molecule: ribosomal RNA, 402 nt
Filed under: uncultured bacterium
Lineage: Bacteria
Description: bacterial SSU rRNA
Rfam family: Bacterial small subunit ribosomal RNA
Source: RNAcentral
AGGGAAUAUUGCAAAAUGGGCGAAAGCCCGAUGCAGCAACGCCGCGUGGGCGAUGAAGGCCUUCAGGUCGUAAAGCCCUUUUUGAGGGGAUGAGGAAGGACAGUACCCUCAGAAUAAGCCUCGGCUAACUACGUGCCAGCAGCCGCGGUAAAACGUAGGAGGCGAGCGUUAUCCGGAUUUACUGGGCGUAAAGCGCGUGCAGGCGGAUUGGAGAGUUGGAUGUGAAAGCUCCCGGCUUAACUGGGAGAGGUCGUUCAAUACUUCCAGUCUUGAGUGCAGUAGAGGGCAGUGGAAUUCCGGGUGUAGUGGUGAAAUGCGUAGAUAUCCGGAGGAACACCAGUGGCGAAAGCGGCUUCCUGGACUGUAACUGACGCUCAGACGCGAAAGCUAGGGUAGCAAACG